GUUCUGGAAGCUUUCCUUCUAAUUUUACUUCUUUUCUAAUACAGCCUUAUUUUGUCUGUGAUCUUUUGUACAGCAUUUUUUAGGUUAAGAUGAAGAUUGAUUCAAACACAUAUUUAUGGUGAAUAGUAAUUCUUUUAUUUUGACAUCUAUUUUUCCUAUUUAGUGACAAUGUGAAGGUCAUGAUUUCGUUUACAUGAGACAUAAUGUUUUUUAUUUUGUUAGCACCUAUAUUCUAUGGAAAUUGGAAUUAUGAAUUAGAUGAAGACAUCGUAAAAAGAUCAUUUUACAUGACAUUUGAGAGUUAUUAAUAUAUACCUUUUGUGUUUAUCUGCUUAAAAAAUAAAAAUGUCUUUGAUGUUACCUUCAAAUUGAAAUUGUAUAUUAUUUUCUAUCUUGUCAAGAAUAUUAAGGUUGUCAUAUGUUUUAUGGCAUGCAAUUUGGAUGAAGAUGCUUUGAUUCAUUCAUAAUGAAUUGGCUCUCUGGAAUCCUUUUUGAUUGUAUUUUACCUAUAGAAGCAAAAGUUGGGAAUGAAGCACAAUUAUGUUAUUAACCAUGUUAAUCAGCACCUGGAGCUGGGCUGUGCCUGGGUGUUUUUGGAAAAGAAUUGCGGCUUGUUGAAUAAACUGCAUUUUCAUGCUUUUAGAAGUUAAAGACUGCUCUUUUUUAGGUUUACAGUAAAAUUUCUCAUCAAUUUCCCAUUUUUAACCUGUAUAAUUGAAUUCCAAUUACACUUUCAGUUUGCUGUGUAAAUGUAAUGCAACAACGAUUGAAUCUGUUAGAUGUUGUUGAUAAAGACAAUUUCCAUAGUUUAUGUUUUCAUCCUUCAGAGAGUAGUUUUGUUCCCUAUCAAUCUUGCUAAGUAUAUGACUGCAGUUAUUAGAAAUUGUGCCUCUGAUAUUGAUUAUCCUCAUGUGGCCAUUGUCUUGUGGGUUCCGUUUGAGUGUAGUUUCAAGUAUUGUCAACACAAGUCCUCUAGGUAUGGCUGUCUUUUUGUAAGGUUGUACUUAUUAUAGCUAUUCCUAUAAUAGUUUGUGGCCUAAACGAUGGUUUAGUUGUAGACAGAUGUCAAACUGUUGAUGCAAGGAUGCAUUUCAGAAAUUUAGUGGUCUACAGAUGUCAGAAGAUGCUAGAUGAAGAUUCUUGGGUCCUACUUGACAUGUUAGAAGAUUAGGAGGAAGACUAAGCACUUAAUUAGGUAAUUGGUGUACAAGAGUGGUUAGGAGACCAAUCAUUUGAUUAAUGUAACUGACAUAGAAGAGUAGUUGAAAGAUUAACUGCCUUCUUUUUUAGGUUUACGGUAAAAUUCCCCAUUUUUAACCUGUAUAAUUGAAUUCCAUUUACACUUUCAGUUUUCUGUGUAAAUGUAAUGCAACACCGAUUUUACCUGUUAGAUGUUGUUGAUAAAGACAAUUCCCAUGGUUUAUAUUUUCAUCCUUCAGAGAGUAGUUUUGUUUCCUAUCAGUAUAUCUUGCUAAAUAUAUGACUGCAGUUAUUAGAAAUUGUGCCUCUAAUAUUGAUUAUCCUCAUGUGGCCAUUGUCUUCUGGGUUCCAUUUAAGUGUAGUUUCAAGUAUUGUCAACACAAGUCUUCUAGGUAUGGCUGUCUUUUUUUAAGGUUGUACUUAUUAUAGCUAUUCCUAUAAUAGUUUGUGGCCUAAACGAUGGUUCAGUGGUAGACAAGAUGUCAAACUGUUGAUGCAAGGAUGCAUUUCAGAAAUUUAGGGGUCUACAGAUGUCAGAAGAUUAUAGAUGAAGAUUCUUGGGUCCUACUUGACAUGUUAGAAGAUUAGUAGGAAGACUAAGCACUUAAGUAGGUAAUUGGUGUACAAGAGUGAUUAGGAGACCAAUCAUUUGAUCAAUAUAACUGACAUAGAAGAGUAUUUGAAAGAUUAACUGCCUUGGAAUUACAACUGAUACACUGAAAUUGUAACCAACACAUUAAGGUGCAUUUUGAAACCAUUUUGGGAACAGCCAACAGAGAGAGACUGGUGUUGGUAGAGUAUCAUAAUUUUGUUUUUGAGUAGGAAAAGUGAUGAGCAAAGUUCCCAUAUACAUCUCCUCUCUUGUGUACAUACAUGAUCCUUGUAACAGAUACUAGAUGUGAAUACAAUAUUCCUGGAUAUGGCAUGGCUAUCGUAUCCAUACAUAUCCAAAUACAAGCCCAUACUUGGUCCAUAUUUGAGAUUUCUGGAUUUGGAAUCAUGUUGUAUUGUGCUAUUUUGGUUUAGGGUUUAUGAAAAUGCAUUCAAAAAGUUGCAACAAAGAACUUAAAAAAGUUGUCCACACACAUAUAUAUUCAAAUCACUAAAGACACAAACAUAUUGAAAGAAAAUGAAUAUAUAUAUAUAUAUAUAUAACAAUUUUCAAAGUUAUGUUCUAUACUAUGUUGCAGGUUUUGUUUCAGCUGUUUGCUGUUUCUUUUUACUGGGUUCAGUAUGUCGUGUAUUUGCACAAAAUACACAAAAUUAUAUACAAAAGAUAACCACUAAUUGUCAGAUGUUACAGAUAAAUCAAAAAGGUUUAUACUAGUGCCAGUGCAUAUGGAAAAUUAAUGCAAAUCAUCAUAUCGCUCUUCAUUGAGAGCAAGAUAACCACUAAUUGUCAGAUGUUACAGAUAAAUCAAAAAGGUUUAUACUAGUGCCAGUGCAUAUGGAAAAUUAAUGCAAAUCAUCAUAUCGCUCUUCAUUGAGAGCAUCUAAGUCAUUAGCUGGUCCAUUGGAACUAUAAACAGUGCUAUUAAUACUCCCACUAGCUGCACUAUGUGAGUUUUGUUGUGGCAAUCUUGUGGUCUGCAUCCUCAAUCAAGACUAAAAAAAGCUGUUUGUGAGGGUUUUUAAAACUAUUUUGUAACACUUUUUUCAUUAAUAGUAUCAGUGCUUGGUCUGGACCAGUCUGUAUUUGGCCAUGAUUCUUGCAAAACUUGGUAAAAGACGUUUGACAGAUUAGACCCUUUGAUGUAUCAAUGGUUGAAAUAAGCAUACUUUUAUCUGAUACUGUAUACAUAUCUGAUACCGUUUCUGUAUCCAAUACCAUUUCUGUUUCCUGCAACUCUCGUGACAAGACAUGGGGCCUGUGCUGGCCAUUUUUCAUUUUCUCAGUCUUUUAUACCUAGCAUGUUUCACCUUAAAAACAUUUGUGUCAAAUUGGUUGUGUGUUCUGGCCUUUUUUGGGCUUCCUUUUUAAAAUUAAAAUUUUAUUUUUAUCAAUUUGUCAAUUUUGUGUUAGGCAAGCAUUAUCAUUUCUUGCACAAGUUUAUAAAAACAUUGAAAACGCAUUUGAGUAAUCUAAAAUUAUGUCAAGAUCUGUUGGAUCAGUAGAUCAAACCAAUAACGUUGGCCAUUAGAUAUUUGUAUUUGAGUUUUGAUUGUCAAAAAUAAUUCUCUUCAAUCUGAAGGUAAGUGAUAACAUAAGACGGAAUACUGGUAUUAUCUCAUUGAUUCCCUUCAGUGUUCUAUUAAUUUAGGGGGCAUAAAUGUUGUUCUGGUAGUUAAUGGCCUUGAAAAGUAUGCAUCUUUUUGUGAAUCUUGGAAACAUGUUCAUUGGCUUCGAUAAAAAAGAAAAGGUUUAUUGCUUAUAAUUUAAAAACCUUCCAAUUUAGGUGAUUAGUUUUUAUCAACUUGUAAAACCACUAAAAAAUGGGCUUGAUGGAAUAUUUUCAUAGCUGUACUCAGUGGUUUGCCAGAAACUCUUACCAUAUCCAUAGUAGUUGUAAGCUGUCGUUCAGUGGCAUGGACAUAUAGAACUCCUAUUGGUUUUCAAAUAAUUAGGUAGCUUUACCAUGCUGUUGAGAGCUAAUUUUGUGUAUUCAACCUCCCAAUACUAAACUUUACCGUUAACCACGGUAGGUAGUAGACACCAGUUUGGCACAUGGUAGGUAGUAGACACCAACAUAUUAAACCCUACUAGAUUUUCCUUUCUCCCCUAGUGAUCAUGGUCAGAAAGAAAUAUGGAUCCUUGAGAUUGUGUGUAUUAUAGAGGUCUCAACCAAAUCACGCACAAAGAUAAGUUUCUGUUACCUUUUAGUGAUGAGUUAAAAAAAAUUUAAAAUUAAUAAAUAAAUUAAAAAGCAUAUUUUAAUAAACUUUAUUAAAUAUAUAAAAAUAAAUCUAGAUAAACUUUAUGGUGUUUAAAAAAUAAUAAUAUGGAAGCCCUGUGGGUUAAAAAUACUAUGGAAGCAGCGAGAACGAAACACAGGGAGAGCACAUAUCGGCCCGUGGGUCAAAAAUACUAUGGAAGCCGCGAGAACAAAACACAGGGAGAGCACAUAUCGGAGAGCAGAGAAUGGAGGUAUCAAAAAUGGCAAAGAAUGGAUUGCAGAACAGAGGGAUCAAAAAGGACAGAGAAUGGAUUGAAUAUUCACAUGAGCCAGCAGGGCUGAAUCCAGAGCAUACCUAGAACCGGAGCAGGAUUGCAUCCGAACCCCCAUCAAACCCGGCCCUGCACCCAGAGCCUAAGCCACAAAACCGUAUUUGAAUUACUUGUGAGCCAAUGAAGGAGCUAAGGUGAUACCACAAGAGAUAAAGACAGUAGUUGAGUGGCUCUUGGCAAAAGAUAUGAAGGGCCUUGGAGGAUUGAUUGGUCUGUCAGAUGGCAGAAUGCAUUUCAAGAAUUGUAGUCUGGGCAUUUUCUGGGGAUGGCAGUCUCACAGUAUAAUUUCUUUCCUUCUAAAAACAUAUCGUGAAAUUUGAGGUAACC
Long non-coding RNA from Cryptomeria japonica (Japanese cedar), 4693 nucleotides. RefSeq lists it as uncharacterized. The record is from RefSeq and is a predicted model, not a curated record. The transcript has 3 exons. Lineage: Eukaryota; Viridiplantae; Streptophyta; Pinopsida; Cupressales; Cupressaceae.